RNAcentral lists this long non-coding RNA (670 nucleotides) under Homo sapiens (human). RNAcentral describes it as "non-protein coding lnc-APOL1-4:1". The record is from RNAcentral. Lineage: Eukaryota; Metazoa; Chordata; Mammalia; Primates; Hominidae.
CUCAUCAGACUCUUGCCAAAUUCCAUUGCACAUCUGCUCUACAAUCAAAGACACCUUGGAUCUAAUUCUCCUUCUAAUAUUACUACUCAUAUCAGUACUGUUCUCAACUGACCUAUUAGGAGACUCAGACAAUUACACUCCAGCAAAUCUCCUCAACACACCACCCGACAUUAAACCAGAAUGGUGCCUUUCAUUUGCCUAUGCAAUUCUACAUUAAACCAGAAGGGUGUCUUCUAUUUGCCUAUGCAAUUCCACAUUAAACCACAGUAGUGUAUUUCAUUUGCCAAUGCAAUUCCACAUGAAACCAGAAUGGCAACUUUCAUUUGCCUAUGUAAUUCCACAUUAAACCAGAAUGGUACUUUUCAUUUGCCUAUGCAAUUCUACACUCCAUUCCUAAUGAACUAGGAGGCAUGCUGGCCCUUGUCUUCUCCAUUCUUAUCCUAGCUGUUGUUCCAACACUUCACAUAUCUAAACAACAAGGCAUAAUAUUCUGACCAUUAAGUCAAUGUCUGUUCUGAAUUCUAGUAGCAGACCUUCUUACACUUACAUGAAUCGGGGGCCAACCUGUUGAACACCUCUUUAUUAUUAUGAGCCAAGCAGCAUCCAUUGUGUACUUUUCCCUUAUCCUUCUUUUUAUACCAAUUACUAGCCUAAUCGAAAACGAGCUACU